CACGUAGUUAGCCGUGGCUUUCUGAUUAGGUACCGUCAAGAUGUGCACAGCUACUUACACAUUUGUUCUUCCCUAAUAACAGAGUUUUACGAGCCGAAACCCUUCAUCACUCACGCGGCGUUGCUCCGUCAGGCUUUCGCCCAUUGCGGAAGAUUCCCUACUGCUGCCCUCCCGUAGGAGUCUGGACCGUGUCUCAGUUCCAGUGUGGCCGAUCACCCUCUCAGGUCGGCUACGUAUCGUUGCCUUGGUAAGCCGUUACCUUACCAACUAGCUAAUACGGCGCGGGUCCAUCUAUAAGUGAUAGCAAAACCAUCUUUCACUUUAGAACCAUGCGGUUACCAAAUUGUUAUCCGGUAUUAGCCUUCCGGUUUCCCGAAGUUACUCCCAGUCUUAUAGGUACGGUUACCCACGUUGUUACCUCACCCGUCCGCCCGCUAACGUACAAGGAGCAAGCUCCUUAUCUGUUCGCUCGACUUGCAUGUAUUAGGCUACGCCCGCAGCGUUCAUCCUGACGCCAGGAUCAAACUCUACCG
Molecule: ribosomal RNA, 533 nt
Filed under: uncultured Staphylococcus sp.
Lineage: Bacteria; Bacillati; Bacillota; Bacilli; Caryophanales; Staphylococcaceae
Description: partial 16S ribosomal RNA
Source: RNAcentral